UACGUAGGUGGCAAGCGUUAUCCGGAAUUAUUGGGCGUAAAGCGCGCGCAGGUGGUUCUUUAAGUCUGAUGUGAAAGCCCCCGGCUCAACCGGGGAGGGUCAUUGGAAACUGGGGAACUUGAGUGCAGAAGAGGAUAGUGGAAUUCCAAGUGUAGCGGUGAAAUGCGUAGAGAUUUGGAGGAACACCAGUGGCGAAGGCGAGUGUCUGGUCUGUAACUGACACUGAGGCGCGAAAGCGUGGGGGAGCAAACAGG
RNAcentral lists this ribosomal RNA (254 nucleotides) under uncultured Solibacillus sp. Its description in RNAcentral is "partial 16S ribosomal RNA". It matches the Rfam family "Bacterial small subunit ribosomal RNA", at positions 524 to 776 of the family's 1533-position model. Lineage: Bacteria; Bacillati; Bacillota; Bacilli; Caryophanales; Caryophanaceae. The record is from RNAcentral.